Molecule: ribosomal RNA, 394 nt
Filed under: uncultured bacterium
Lineage: Bacteria
Description: partial 16S ribosomal RNA
Rfam family: Bacterial small subunit ribosomal RNA
Source: RNAcentral
AUACGUAGGGAGCGAGCGUUGUCCGGAAUUACUGGGCGUAAAGGGCGCGUAGGCGGCGCUUCAGGUCGUCUGUCAAAUGGAAGGGCUUAACCCUUUUUCGCAGACGAAACUGGAGAGCUUGAGAAGCAGAGAGGCAAACAGAAUUCCUGGUGUAGCGGUGAAAUGCGUAGAUAUCAGGAAGAAUACCAGUGGCGAAGGCGGUUUGCUGGCUGCAUACUGACGCUGAAGCGCGAAAGCCAGGGGAGCAAACGGGAUUAGAUACCCCGGUAGUCCUGGCAGUAAACGAUGUAUGCUGGGUGUGAGACUAGCGAUAGUUUCGUGCCGAAGUUAACGCGAUAAGCAUACCGCCUGGGGAGUACGGUCGCAAGAUUGAAACUUAAAGGAAUUGACGGGG